GUUGAACGCUGGCGGCAUGCCUAACACAUGCAAGUCGAACGACAGCGCGGGAGCAAUCCUGGCGGCGAGUGGCGAACGGGUGAGUAAUACACCGGAACGUGCCCACUCGUGGGGGAGAACGCAGCGAAAGCUGUGCUAAUACCGCAUACGAUCUACGGAUGAAAGCAGGGGAUCGCAAGACCUUUCGCGAAUUGAGCGGCCGAUGGCGGAUUAGUUAGUUGGUGAGGUAAAGGCUGACCAAGCCUGCGAUCUGUAGCUGGUCUGUGAGGACGACCAGCCACCCUGGGACUGGGACACGGCCCAGACUCCUACGGGAGGCAGCAGUGGGGAAUUUUGGGCAAUGGGCGAAAGCCUGAUCCAGCCAUGCCGCGUGCAGGAUGAAGGCCUUCGGGUUGUAAACUGCUUUUGUGCGGAACGAAACGGUCUUUUCUAAUAAAGAAGGCUAAUGACGGUACCGUAAGAAUAAGCACCGGCUAACUACGUG
Molecule: ribosomal RNA, 484 nt
Filed under: uncultured bacterium
Lineage: Bacteria
Description: partial 16S ribosomal RNA
Rfam family: Bacterial small subunit ribosomal RNA
Source: RNAcentral